Molecule: ribosomal RNA, 225 nt
Filed under: uncultured bacterium
Lineage: Bacteria
Description: partial 16S ribosomal RNA
Rfam family: Bacterial small subunit ribosomal RNA
Source: RNAcentral
UACGAGGGGGGCUAGCGUUAUCCGUCUUGAAUGGGCCUAAAGUGGUCUGUAGGCUGCUUGUAAAGGUAAAAAGUAUUACAACUAGCAGCUAGAGUGGAAUUGGGGAAUCAGGGAACUCCAGGAGUAGGGAUAGAAUCCGGUGAUCCCUGGAAGACCGCUAUGGCGAAGGCCCUAUUCUAAGUAACCACUGACGCUGAGAGACUAAGAGUGUGGGGAGCGAAGAGG